UCCCUGGUGGUCCAGUGGUUAGGACUCAGUACUUUGACUGCCGAGGGCUGAGGUUCAGUCCCUGGUCAGGGAA
Bos taurus (domestic cattle) is the source of this 73-nucleotide non-coding RNA. The record is from Rfam. NCBI's taxonomy places the organism in Eukaryota, Metazoa, Chordata, Mammalia, Artiodactyla, Bovidae.